UACGUAGGGUGCAAGCGUUGUCCGGAAUUAUUGGGCGUAAAGAGCUCGUAGGCGGUCUGUCGCGUCGGCUGUGAAAUCCCGGAGCUCAACUCCGGGCCUGCAGUCGAUACGGGCAGACUGGAGUUCGGCAGGGGAGACUGGAAUUCCUGGUGUAGCGGUGAAAUGCGUAGAUAUCGGGAGGAACACCUGUGGCGAAAGCGGCUCACUGGACCAUUACUGACGCUGAUGCUCGAAAGCUAGGGGAGCAAACAGG
Molecule: ribosomal RNA, 253 nt
Filed under: uncultured bacterium
Lineage: Bacteria
Description: partial 16S ribosomal RNA
Rfam family: Bacterial small subunit ribosomal RNA
Source: RNAcentral